This is a long non-coding RNA of Thunnus maccoyii (southern bluefin tuna), 1740 nucleotides long. RefSeq lists it as uncharacterized. The record is from RefSeq and is a predicted model, not a curated record. NCBI's taxonomy places the organism in Eukaryota, Metazoa, Chordata, Actinopteri, Scombriformes, Scombridae. The transcript has 3 exons.
GACAAUCAGAAAAAUAUAGAAAAUUGCCAGAAUGAUCCUUUACAGACAUUUGAGAUGAACAGUGUAAAUGAGGCCUGAAAUACAGAGAUGAGGUAAUAAAACAGGACCUGCCUAUGUUGAUAUUCUACGCUUGCAAUUAAUCAAAUUAAGUACAACCAAACGUCUAAAUAAACUGCUUUAUUAAUAAGCAGAAUUGACACACUUGUGCAUUGAAGUCAAUUAUUUCUAGUGAUUUAGUGUUUUUCUCUCUUCCUCCUUCCACCUCCUCGUUUUGUUUUCAUGGUAUCAUGUUUGUGUUUGUGUUGACCGCGGAUGCUCUCUGAGGCUGAGAGCAGAAACAUCCUGAGCGCUGCAUGAAUGUAUUCUGUGUGUGAUGGGAUGUGACAGGUCAAUCUCCGCAGAGAGGACAGUCCCAGGUUGCCACGGCUACCGACAGUCUGGCACGGCAGGUAAAGCUUCCCUCCAACCCCCCGAGGGAGAGACGCUGUGAAUUAAUUCUGCUUUAGACCUUGUUUCUUCUUCUUCCUCCACGGCGGCUGGAGAUGGAGGCGAUAAGGAGCCCGCAGUUAUCCGUUCUGACACAAUGCAGAGCUGGAAUCACAUUUUAAAACAUGCCGGGACUGUGCAAGGGUGGAUGUUUGGCUCAGUUUAACAGCCCUGUUAAGGUUCAAGCUCAGUCAUUACUCGGUGGUAUAUGAGGCGAGGAGGAGGAGGAGGAGGAGGAGGGAGCUGCGGUGUCAAGCCUGACUGACAGCAGAGCUCUAACCUCCAGCCAUGACCGCUGCGGUGAGUAACGGCUGCACCGAGCGUCAGAAGAGCUUUAUGUGUGUACGUGACUUUAAUUCACCUCACCUAGCGGCAUCCUGAACCGCAUGCAGAUAAAACAGGGACACUCAGUGAUAGGAAGCACCUGAACACUAAUAUCAUCCACCUGCAGAGCUGCAACACACCUGCAGCUCCACUUUAAAAUGUAACACCGACGGGCAACAACAGUGACGGCAGCAGCAGACGUAACGACAACUCGACACGAUUCAUCUAUUUUGAAUGUUACCUUCUUGCAGACGGCACCAAACGCAUCCAAUCAGCCGAAGAAGACGUUUCCCUUAAACAUCGGUUACUUCUUAAUGUGCUGACGAUGGCAGAUUGUUGCAGUGGAGGCCUCAGACUCGGUGUUGGUGGUGAUUACAUCAUGGCUGAUCUGGCAGACGGCUGCAGGCCCGUGCCAGCUCCAGGCCAUGUGGUGAGGACGGGCCAGUCUGCACAGGAAGUGACUGAGGAGGGACGAUGACUGCUGAUUCAGGACUGACUCAGUUCACCUCCUCAAACUGAGUCUGUUGUUCAUCAGACCGGCCAAGACAUUUCAAUGGAAAAUAUUUUGGAUGCACUAAGACUUGUAAUACUCUCUUACUCUGACUCUCGGAGGAAACGUCCUAUUGAAAAAUCAAUAGAGCUCGCUCUGUUUCUGGAUCCAUUACUGAGGAGAGUGGAAAUGUGGUCUGAGCAGCCGAGAAAGAGCCAAGAAAGACUCUCUGCCAGGGAGAACAUGCAUCCAAAAUAAAAUUAAGUAAUAGCAAUAACAAUGGAAAAAUAAUCAUUUAUAAAUAUAAAAGUCCUGAACAGGACUUAUGUAAGUGAAGCAGGAGAAGCAGCAACAUCUGUGUAUCACAAGUAGAAGAUGAUAAAAACAAUCUGGGUGUUUAUUUCAAAACAUAUUUGCUGUUGUUUUUUAGUAGUUUUCAU